Molecule: long non-coding RNA, 377 nt
Organism: Solanum pennellii
Lineage: Eukaryota; Viridiplantae; Streptophyta; Magnoliopsida; Solanales; Solanaceae
Exons: 2
Source: RefSeq, a predicted model, not a curated record
GAACAUUCUUUAUUUUACUCAUCAAAUACAGAGGUGCAUUUGAGAUGGUCUUCGGCAUUCAUAAAAUAGCUUUUGCAGCUGCAUCGUUUGUUCUUCCUCCCUCACGCUGUCGCCGUCAGAACUCUCUAGCCUUCAUGUUGUCUCCAUCAAAUGCAUCUGAGCCUAUUGAUCAUGGAUAAAGGUUGGAUGCAUGAACCAAAAUUCUCUAAAAGAUAUGUUGAGGGUGCCCAAUCUUUCAUGAAACUUGUUCAAUCCCACUUUGAUAAUUCCAAAGUUCGAUGCCCAUGUAAAGAUUGUUUGAAUUUAUUUUUUCAAACACAAGAAGUUGUAUGACCACCUAUUGAUCCAAGGAAUUAUAAGAAGUUCCGUGUAAUGGA